GGCUACGGCCAAGCUACCCUGAACAAGCCUGGUCCUAUCUGAUCUCAGAAGGUAAGCAAGGUCAGGCCUGGUUAGUAGUUGGAUGGGGGACCACCCAGGAAGACCAGAUGCUGUAGACG
Molecule: ribosomal RNA, 119 nt
Organism: Pteropus vampyrus (large flying fox)
Lineage: Eukaryota; Metazoa; Chordata; Mammalia; Chiroptera; Pteropodidae
Source: Ensembl